AAACCAACAGGGAUGGCUCUAGUAACGGCGAGUGAAGCAGCCAAAGCUCAAAUUUGAAAGCUCCUAACAAGGCGCAUUGUAAUUUGAAGAUGGUAUUCCGAGUUAGUCCUUUACCUCAGUUCCUUGGAACAGGACGCCAUAGAGGGUGAGAGCCCCGUGUGGUAUUGGUAGCUUUCUCAUGUGGUUUACCUUCGAAGAGUCGAGUUGUUUGGGAAUGCAGCUCUAAGUGGGUGGUAAAUUCCAUCUAAAGCUAAAUAUUGGCGAGAGACCGAUAGCGAACAAGUACUGUGAAGGAAAGAUGAAAAGAACUUUGAAAAGAGAGUGAAAAAGUACGUGAAAUUGUUGAAAGGGAAGGGAAUUGGACUAGACUUGGAUUUCUGUUAUCAGCAGUCUUUCGGGGCUGUGCACUAGCAGUUUUCUAGGCCAGGAUCUGUUUGGAGGCCAGGAUAAAACCCAAAGAAUGUGGCUCUUCGGAGUGUUAUAGCUUUGGUUGAAUACUGGCAUUCUGGACAGAGGACCGCGCUUCGUGCUAGGAUCCUGGCGUAAUAGUCCUAUUCCAC
This 560-nucleotide ribosomal RNA is filed under the name Tardiomyces blankii. RNAcentral's name for it is "eukaryotic LSU rRNA". It matches the Rfam family "Eukaryotic large subunit ribosomal RNA", at positions 62 to 648 of the family's 3401-position model. Lineage: Eukaryota; Fungi; Ascomycota; Dipodascomycetes; Dipodascales; Trichomonascaceae. The record is from RNAcentral.